AUUGAACGCUGGCGGCAGGCCUAACACAUGCAAGUCGAGCGGAUGAAGGGAGCUUGCUCCUGGAUUCAGCGGCGGACGGGUGAGUAAUGCCUAGGAAUCUGCCUGGUAGUGGGGGAUAACGUCCGGAAACGGGCGCUAAUACCGCAUACGUCCUGAGGGAGAAAGUGGGGGAUCUUCGGACCUCACGCUAUCAGAUGAGCCUAGGUCGGAUUAGCUAGUUGGUGGGGUAAAGGCCUACCAAGGCGACGAUCCGUAACUGGUCUGAGAGGAUGAUCAGUCAAACCUGGACUGUGGCAACGGUCCAGACCCCACGGGAGGCAGCAGUGGGGAAUAUUGGACAAUGGGCGAAAGCCUGAUCCAGCCAUGCCGCGUGUGUGAAGAAGGUCUUCGGAUUGUAAAGCACUUUAAGUUGGGAGGAAGGGCAGUAAGUUAAUACCUUGCUGUUUUGACGUUACCAACAGAAUAAGCACCGGCUAACUUCGUG
RNAcentral lists this ribosomal RNA (484 nucleotides) under uncultured bacterium. RNAcentral describes it as "partial 16S ribosomal RNA". It matches the Rfam family "Bacterial small subunit ribosomal RNA", at positions 30 to 507 of the family's 1533-position model. The record is from RNAcentral.